GUGCCAGCCGCCGCGGUAAUACCGGCAGCCCGAGUGAUGGCCGAUCUUAUUGGGCCUAAAGCGUCCGUAGCUGGCUGCGCAAGUCCGUCGGGAAAUCCACUCGCCCAACGAGUGGGCGUCCGGCGGAAACUGCACGGCUUGGGACCGGAAGGCUCGAGAGGUUCGUCCGGGGUAGGAGUGAAAUCCCGUAAUCCCGCACGGACCACCGAUGGCGAAAGCACUUCGAGAAAACGGAUCCGACAGUGAGGGACGAAAGCCAGGGUCUCCAACCGGAUUAGAAACCCUGGUGCC
This 291-nucleotide ribosomal RNA is filed under the name uncultured bacterium. RNAcentral's name for it is "partial 16S ribosomal RNA". It matches the Rfam family "Archaeal small subunit ribosomal RNA", at positions 455 to 746 of the family's 1478-position model. The record is from RNAcentral.